AACGAACGCUGGCGGCAUGCCUAACACAUGCAAGUCGAACGAUGCCUUCGGGCAUAGUGGCGCACGGGUGCGUAACGCGUGGGAAUCUGCCCUUGGGUUCGGAAUAACUCAGAGAAAUUUGAGCUAAUACCGGAUGAUGACGUAAGUCCAAAGAUUUAUCGCCCAAGGAUGAGCCCGCGUAAGAUUAGCUAGUUGGUGGGGUAAAGGCCUACCAAGGCGACGAUCUUUAGCUGGUCUGAGAGGAUGAUCAGCCACACUGGGACGUGAGACACGGCCCAGACUCCUACGGGAGGCAGCAGU
Molecule: ribosomal RNA, 300 nt
Filed under: uncultured bacterium
Lineage: Bacteria
Description: bacterial SSU rRNA
Rfam family: Bacterial small subunit ribosomal RNA
Source: RNAcentral